RNAcentral lists this transfer RNA (88 nucleotides) under Faecalibacterium prausnitzii. RNAcentral describes it as "tRNA-Ser". It matches the Rfam family "tRNA". Rfam says of the family: Transfer RNA (tRNA) molecules are approximately 80 nucleotides in length. The record is from RNAcentral. Lineage: Bacteria; Bacillati; Bacillota; Clostridia; Eubacteriales; Oscillospiraceae. RNAcentral also lists the same sequence under 1 other name.
GGAGAGAUGUCCGAGUGGUUUAAGGAAGCAGUCUUGAAAACUGCCGUACGGUAACGUACCGUGGGUUCGAAUCCCACUCUCUCCGCCA